RNAcentral lists this ribosomal RNA (460 nucleotides) under uncultured bacterium. Its description in RNAcentral is "partial 16S ribosomal RNA". It matches the Rfam family "Bacterial small subunit ribosomal RNA", at positions 338 to 795 of the family's 1533-position model. The record is from RNAcentral.
CCUACGGUAGGCAGCAGCGAGGAAUAUUGGUCAAUGGACGAGAGUCUGAACCAGCCAAGUAGCGUGAAGGAUGACUGCCCUAUGGGUUGUAAACUUCUUUUAUAAAGGAAUAAAACGAGGCACGUGUGCCUUUUUGCAUGUACUUUAUGAAUAAGGAUCGGCUAACUCCGUGCCAGCAGCCGCGGUAAUACGGAGGAUCCGAGCGUUAUCCGGAUUUAUUGGGUUUAAAGGGAGCGUAGAUGGGUUGUUAAGUCAGUUGUGAAAGUUUGCGGCUCAACCGUAAAAUUGCAAUUGAUAAUGGCAGUCUUGAGUACAGUUGAGGUAGGCGGAAUUCGUGGUGUAGCGGUGAAAUGCUUAGAUAUCACGAAGAACUCCGAUUGCGAAGGCAGCUUACUAAACUGUGACUGACAUUGAUGCUCGAAAGUGUGGGUAUCAAACAGGAUUAGAUACCCCUGUAGUC